RNAcentral lists this ribosomal RNA (435 nucleotides) under uncultured bacterium. RNAcentral describes it as "partial 16S ribosomal RNA". It matches the Rfam family "Bacterial small subunit ribosomal RNA", at positions 29 to 507 of the family's 1533-position model. The record is from RNAcentral.
AGCGAACGCUGGCGGCAGGCUUAACACAUGCAAGUCGAACGGGCAUCUUCGGAUGUCAGUGGCAGACGGGUGAGUAACACGUGGGAACGUACCCUUCGGUUCGGAAUAACUCAGGGAAACUUGAGCUAAUACCGGAUACGACCUUUUGGGGAAAGGUUUACUGCCGAAGGAUCGGCCGGCGUUUGAUUCGCUUGUUGGUGGGGUAACGGCCUACCAAGGCAGCGAGCAGUAGGUGGUCUGAGAGGAUGAUCAGCCACACUGGGACUGAGACACGGCCCAGACUCCUACGGGAUGCAGCAGUGGGGAAUAUUGGACAAUGGGCGCAAUCCUGAUCCAGCCAUGCUGCGUGAGUGAUGAAGGCCUGAGGGUUGUAAAGCUCUUUUGUCCGGGACGAUAAUGACGGUACCGGAAGAAUAAGCCCCGGCUAACUUCGUG